RNAcentral lists this ribosomal RNA (1372 nucleotides) under uncultured bacterium. RNAcentral describes it as "bacterial SSU rRNA". It matches the Rfam family "Bacterial small subunit ribosomal RNA", at positions 28 to 1381 of the family's 1533-position model. The record is from RNAcentral.
GAUGAACGCUGGCGGCGUGCCUAAUACAUGCAAGUCGAGCGAACGGACGAGAAGCUUGCUUCUCUGAUGUUAGCGGCGGACGGGUGAGUAACACGUGGAUAACCUACCUAUAAGACUGGGAUAACUUCGGGAAACCGGAGCUAAUACCGGAUAAUAUUUUGAACCGCAUGGUUCAAAAGUGAAAGACGGUCUUACUGUCACUUAUAGAUGGAUCCGCGCUGCAUUAGCUAGUUGGUAAGGUAACGGCUUACCAAGGCAACGAUGCAUAGCCGACCUGAGAGGGUGAUCGGCCACACUGGAACUGAGACACGGUCCAGACUCCUACGGGAGGCAGCAGUAGGGAAUCUUCCGCAAUGGGCGAAAGCCUGACGGAGCAACGCCGCGUGAGUGAUGAAGGUCUUCGGAUCGUAAAACUCUGUUAUUAGGGAAGAACAUAUGUGUAAGUAACUGUGCACAUCUUGACGGUACCUAAUCAGAAAGCCACGGCUGACUACGUGCCAGCAGCCGCGGUAAUACGUAGGUGGCAAGCGUUAUCCGGAAUUAUUGGGCGUAAAGCGCGCGUAGGCGGUUUUUUAAGUCUGAUGUGAAAGCCCACGGCUCAACCGUGGAGGGUCAUUGGAAACUGGAAAACUUGAGUGCAGAAGAGGAAAGUGGAAUUCCAUGUGUAGCGGUGAAAUGCGCAGAGAUAUGGAGGAACACCAGUGGCGAAGGCGACUUUCUGGUCUGUAACUGACGCUGAUGUGCGAAAGCGUGGGGAUCAAACAGGAUUAGAUACCCUGGUAGUCCACGCCGUAAACGAUGAGUGCUAAGUGUUAGGGGGUUUCCGCCCCUUAGUGCUGCAGCUAACGCAUUAAGCACUCCGCCUGGGGAGUACGACCGCAAGGUUGAAACUCAAAGGAAUUGACGGGGACCCGCACAAGCGGUGGAGCAUGUGGUUUAAUUCGAAGCAACGCGAAGAACCUUACCAAAUCUUGACAUCCUUUGACAACUCUAGAGAUAGAGCCUUCCCCUUCGGGGGACAAAGUGACAGGUGGUGCAUGGUUGUCGUCAGCUCGUGUCGUGAGAUGUUGGGUUAAGUCCCGCAACGAGCGCAACCCUUAAGCUUAGUUGCCAUCAUUAAGUUGGGCACUCUAAGUUGACUGCCGGUGACAAACCGGAGGAAGGUGGGGAUGACGUCAAAUCAUCAUGCCCCUUAUGAUUUGGGCUACACACGUGCUACAAUGGACAAUACAAAGGGCAGCGAAACCGCGAGGUCAAGCAAAUCCCAUAAAGUUGUUCUCAGUUCGGAUUGUAGUCUGCAACUCGACUACAUGAAGCUGGAAUCGCUAGUAAUCGUAGAUCAGCAUGCUACGGUGAAUACGUUCCCGGGUCU